Tachyglossus aculeatus (Australian echidna) is the source of this 138-nucleotide small nucleolar RNA. The record is from RefSeq and is a predicted model, not a curated record. NCBI's taxonomy places the organism in Eukaryota, Metazoa, Chordata, Mammalia, Monotremata, Tachyglossidae.
CCUCACUCAGGGUCGCACUUUGAGAGUUUCCAGUACUCUGCCAGUCACGACUACAGGAGGGAGAGUCAAGCAGAGGCAUACCCAUUCCAUUCCUAGCUUGGGCAGUGGCUAGUGAGUGGAAGAUAAUCUGCUACAAGU